GAUGAACGCUAGCGGCAGGCCUAAUACAUGCAAGUCGAACGGUAAGUAUUUUAGCAAUAGAAUACGAGAGUGACGUACGGGUGCGUAACACGUAUGCAACCUACCCUUUACAGGAGGAUAGCUCGGGGAAACUCGAAUUAACCCUCCAUGAGAUCACAGUGUGGCAUCACACAGUGAUUAAAACUCCGGUGGUAAAGGAUGGGCAUGCGUCUGAUUAGUUAGUUGGCGGGGUAACGGCCCACCAAGACGAUGAUCAGUAGGGGAACUGAGAGGUUGAUCCCCCACACUGGCACUGAGAUACGGGCCAGACUCCUACGGGAGGCAGCAGUAGGGAAUAUUGGUCAAUGGAUGGAAGUCUGAACCAGCCAUGCCGCGUGCAGGAAGAAGGCCUUCUGGGUUGUAAACUGCUUUUGCCAGGGGAUAAAAAGACCAUGCGCGGUUAAUUGAAGGUACCUGGUGAAUAAGCCACGGCUAACUACGUGCCAGCAGCCGCGGUAAUAC
This 501-nucleotide ribosomal RNA is filed under the name uncultured bacterium. RNAcentral's name for it is "bacterial SSU rRNA". It matches the Rfam family "Bacterial small subunit ribosomal RNA", at positions 28 to 526 of the family's 1533-position model. The record is from RNAcentral.